AUUGAACGCUGGCGGCAGGCCUAACACAUGCAAGUCGAACGAGUGGCGGACGGGUGAGUAAUGUCUGGGGAUCUGCCCGAUGGAGGGGGAUAACUACUGGAAACGGUGGCUAAUACCGCAUACUACACGAUCAACCCAUAUGGGAUUAGCUGGUGGGUGGGGUAAAGGCUCACCAAGGCGACCAUCCCUAGCGGGUCUGAGAGGAUGAUCAGCCACACUGGGACUGAGACACGGCCCAGACUCCUACGGGAGGCAGCAGUGGGGAAUAUUGCGCAAUGGGCGCAAGCCUGAUGCAGCCAUGCCGCGUGUAUGAAGAAGGCCUUAGGGUUGUAAAGUACUUUCAGCGGGGAGGCGUUACCCGAAGAAGAAGCACCGGCUAACUCCGUGCCAGCCGCCGCGGUAAUAC
Molecule: ribosomal RNA, 406 nt
Filed under: uncultured bacterium
Lineage: Bacteria
Description: partial 16S ribosomal RNA
Rfam family: Bacterial small subunit ribosomal RNA
Source: RNAcentral